CUACGGGCCGCACCAGUGGGGAAUAUUGGACAAUGGGCGCAAGCCUGAUCCAGCAAUGCCGCGUGAGUGAAGACGGCCUUAGGGUUGUAAAACUCUUUCGCUAGGGAAGAUAAUGACUGUACCUAGUAAAGAAGUCCCGGCUAACUCCGUGCCAGGCAGCCGCGGUAAUACGGAGGGGACUAGCGUUGUUCGGAAUUACUGGGCGUAAAGAGUUCGUAGGCGGACUGACAAGUUAGAGGUGAAAUCCCAGGGCUCAACCCUGGAACUGCCUUUAAAACUGUCAGUCUAGAGACCGGAAGAGGUUAGGGGAAUACCUAGUGUAGAGGUGAAAUUCGUAGAUAUUAGGUGGAACACCAGUGGCGAAGGCGCCUAACUGGUCCGGUACUGACGCUGAGGAACGAAAGCGUGGGGAGCAAACAGGAUUAGAUACCCGCGUAGUC
This 440-nucleotide ribosomal RNA is filed under the name uncultured bacterium. RNAcentral describes it as "partial 16S ribosomal RNA". It matches the Rfam family "Bacterial small subunit ribosomal RNA", at positions 339 to 795 of the family's 1533-position model. The record is from RNAcentral.